UCGAGGAUCUUCGGCAAUGGGCGCAAGCCUGACCGAGCGACGCCGCGUGCGGGAUGAAGGCCUUCGGGUUGUAAACCGCUGUCAGUGGGGAGAAAAUUCACGUGGGUACUCCCUCGUGAUUGAUCUAUCCGCAGAGGAAGUGUGGGCUAAGUUCGUGCCAGCAGCCGCGGUAAGACGAACCACACAAACGUUAUUCGGAAUCACUGGGCUUAAAGGGUGCGUAGGCGGCGCGGUAAGUUGGGUGUGAAAUGCCUCGGCUUAACCGAGGAACUGCGCUCAAAACUACCGUGCUUGAGGGAGAUAGAGGUGAGCGGAACUUAGGGUGGAGCGGUGAAAUGCGUUGAUAUCCUAAGGAACACCCGUGGCGAAAGCGGCUCACUGGAUCUCUUCUGACGCUGAGGCACGAAAGCUAGGGUAGCGAACGGGAUUAGAUACCCCCGUAGUCC
Molecule: ribosomal RNA, 446 nt
Filed under: uncultured bacterium
Lineage: Bacteria
Description: bacterial SSU rRNA
Rfam family: Bacterial small subunit ribosomal RNA
Source: RNAcentral